CAUUUCUCCCUGACUGUGUGUGUUAGUUCUUCAGCUACCCUUGGCCACAAGGCCAUGGUUGCUUCUUGCACACCUGCCCUGCUCCCCUCAGUGACCUCUGCAAUACAGAUAUUUUACAUAGAGAAGAAAUUAUGCUCUAUUCUGAAGGGAAUGACAGAGCAUCUGAGAUCAUACAUUUAAGUCUCCACUUUAUGUAAACCCCAGGCAAUCAUGAACAAAACAUAUUUCAGCUCUGUGUCUAUACCUAGAUCUUACUAGAAGGAGGUAACUUCCAGUAUUGUAAGUUCGGAGUCAGCCUGAGCAGGGCUCAGAAAUCAUCCUGCAGAUGCACAGCGUUAACCGGAAACAAUUCAGAGUGGCAGUGGUAUCCUGCAGGAUGUGUGCGACGCCUUCAGCUGUGUGUUGAUUUACACAGGGCCACAUUAUAGAUUAUACAUUCUGGUAAUUGUGGUAUUGUUAUUGCUGGGCUAUAUCUAAGCACAGGAAACACAUAUAAGCACAUUUGAAGUGAUAACAUCCACUCCUGUUUAAAGGGCAAUAUUUUAUUCUCAUACGUAAUACAGCGUUUGCAAUAAUAUAGACAAUUUCCUAACUAGUACAUAGAAGACUUUCAGGAGAAAAACCCGAUUCAUUGUGGGAAGCCCAUAACCACCAUUUACAAAGAAAUCCACAUCAACUUUUAUUCACUUUAAUUUUAUUUUUUUCAGUAUGGACAUUAUUCCGAGAUCAAGAAGGAGACAAUACGUUGCCAUAUGAAAGCACAAGAAAGAUCAAAAUAAGUUUUCAAUGUGUCACCGAAACCACAGUGCUAGGUUUCUGUUAAGGAGAAUGAGUAAUACCAUUCUAGCUGUGAAGAAUGCUGUGAGUGGCUAAUAAUUCCAUCUAACUGAUAGGGCAGAUUUUCCUGCAAGAAAAUAAAUUAUCCCAACUAAAAUCUUGCCCUAUUUCUUCAGCUUAGUAAGAAAACCCACUCACCAUACCCAUUUAGCUGCUUGUCUAACAUUAGGAUAUCCUCCAUCCAACAUUCCCAACCCAGUCUUGCAAUUCAGGAACAGAUUGGCUCCGACCUUGGCCCGGACCAUAGCUAAAUCUAUAUCCGUGCUCGUAAUACUGUUGCAGAUCAAUAAUACGAUGCUAUACUGGAUAAAUUGGUUUGUCGAAAUGAUAGUUAUGAAUGAGGUUCUAAACAGACACUGCAACAUAUAAUAAAGGACUGACCUACUGACAGUUCUAAUGGGGAUGUGAUUAACACAUACACAAAAUAGCCCAAAGCCCAAUGACUUGCUUCAUGAUUUCAUGAAAAACUUUUUAUUGUUUUCUAUCUAUGUUAUUUAACAUAAAGAAUACAUUUGUCUUUAUAAAUUUAUAAAUGCUACUGAUCUGAUAUUUUUGUGCUGACAGUCUAACAUUGAACAAAAGUAUAGUUUUGUCAGACCUCAUAUGCACAAAAAUUUUAAAUAAUAAUGUUGCUGAUGCCUCGUAACAUGCCUUUGCAUUCUGGCAGCCUCAUUAUAAUAUUCUUUUGGAAGCGUCACCUGCUUAGGUAAGCUUUGAUUUACAAGACAAUAUUAAGACAUGUUUAAUUUUAAUUAUGAUCUUUACUAUUUUCCUGAAUAAGAAUCUCUGUCCUUAGUUUAAACUUCUGUUAUCCUGUUUAACAAAGAAACAGCUUCAAUCGUACUAAGAGUACUUAAUGUUAAGAAAGUUUUCACAGUUGAUUGCUGGGAUUAGGGCUUUAAAAACAAAGGUCAGGUGAAGAUGCCUUCUUGGAAUACACUAGGAUAUGAGCCUCUAUUUUUGUUUGUAGUUCAUAAAUCUACAUAUUACAUAAACCAGUAAUAACUUUAAUAUAAUUAAAUAUAUUUGUGUUUGUGUGAGUGACUGGAGUUGAACAGCACACCUACAUGGCUGCAGCAUGUGCGAAUCUUCCUGCAGUACAUUCUGGUGUUUACUUUCAUUAGACAGUAAGACUUGUUGCCUGCAAAAAUAUCUCACAGCUUGAAAAGGAGACUAAUGUCUGUCUUUUUCACAUGGGAAAUGUAUUUCAUCACUCCCUCACAUGACAUCGAAAUCAGGUCUGUGGAAAUGAAAAUACCAGGCUCUGCACACCGUAGGAUUUGUAAUUAGCUUGAGAUAUCCAGAGAAAAUUCUGUAAGUUACUUUAGUCUCUUUAUUUUGCCUUGUCUCAAAUCUGUCUGAUUUUGUUUGAGUUUAUGAAUAAUUUUUGGUGGAAAUGUCUAUGUUGCAAUUGAAAUGCUCUAACAAGUCCUCAUCACUAAAUGCACUGAGUUCUGUUACUUGUGAGGAGCCACGUGGAGUCCUGGAGUCCUUGUGGCUGCUGGGGAACUCAGGAGCUUCCUGGUCUCACUUGAGCCAUAUGACAGAACCCCAAAAACACCUGGGAUGUCUUUAGGUCUUAAAUAUUUGGUUUAAAUGUCUAAAAGGUAAGAGUUUCUGAAGCAUCAGAAGACAUGAGAGUUAACAGAUCAGCCUGAGCCAUGCCUCUUGCGUUUACUUCUUCAAUAAAGUUGUCAGGAUGCUGCCAAGCCAGGCUGCCAGAUGUGCUCUCCACAUUUGGGGUAAGUAAUCACUUGGGCCUGGGAUCUUCUGCACAAGCUAUGCCUGAACCCACUGCAGUUAUUUUAGGUGACACACUAAAGUGAUCAGCAUAAACUGAGAAGACUUUGUCCAGCACUUUGUCAGCGUGCCAGAAGAAAUUCCUUGGGAUUCAGAGUCUAAGAUUUCAUUUCAGUUAAUUGUCAGGAUGAUGAAUAUUAUUUAUUCCAUACUAAGGCUUAUUUUAAUCCAAAACACAGACAGAUAGCGUCAAUGCAGGCAAAAUGAUAGUUCUUCCUGCAUAGAAGCCCAUCUAGAUAUAAUCCAGUUUGCUCUCCUGUCUCUAAAUUUGAAGGACGACAGGAAUGGAGACUGCAUCUGGCCUGGGAUUCCCUUGCACUUGAACUCGAUCUAUUUAGGCAAGUCUAUUUUUUCAGAAAAUAAAACUAUUAUAGACAACAAUAUGGUGAACUGAAAACUCCUCAAAGUUGUUAAAUUUUGUCUUGUUUGGAAAAGGAGCUGUAUCAGGCAGAUGCUCAGUGAGGCAAUGGAGCCCAGUGGGCAGAGUGCUGGACAGGAAUUGAGAAAUCUGGGUUCUUUUCCAAAAUCUCCUGACUUUUAAAUGAUCUUGAGCUGUCACUUCUCUGUGCUUUGGAUUCACUGCCUGUAUGAGGAGGAUAAUAAUGCUCAUAAUGGUUGCAGAGUUGCUGAAGGAAGGAUCUGCAUGAACACAACACUUCGUGCACUACCCUGAGCUAGAUGCAGCUGUGGUUAAAGGUGGCCAGGAUUUGGUCAAUCAUGUAUUCCAGAAAAUCUGGGAAACUUUGAUUGUUACACAGCUUGCUUUCAGUUAUCUGUCAAAACACAUUUUCAUGUUAAAGGUCUUUCUUAUCUUUCAGGCCAUUACAAAAUAUCUCCAGAAAAUUUCAUAUUAUUUACUUACGCAUUAAUACUCAUAGUUCAUACUCCUGUUACUGGGAACUGCAGAGUGCCUCUCAGGAUCAUACAAAUUAUAACUUAACAUAGAUAAUAUGGUUUUGACCUAAAAAAGAGAAGUGUUUUGCAAUGUUAUAUUUAACAUAUCUGGGGAAAAAAAUUAUCAAUUACUUUAUGUUAUAAGGUAGUUCAAUUGGGCUUUUAGUUUGAAACAUUCUCUUUGAAACUAAACAAAAUUUUUUUAAUUGUCAUUUUAAAUCAAUGUCUUGAUUUCACACGUUUUGUAUUAAUAUACAACUACAAGCUCUGUGCGCAAAAAAAGAACAGUCUACUUUCAAAACUGCUGAAUGCUUUGACCUCAAGGGCAUAGAAACUGUUGACUCAUUGUUUUUACUGCAUAUAAUAUUAGUCCUUUGUCACAUCCAGGGAAUGACAUCAUCUUCUUCAUUGUUAGCAGCAGGUUUGAAUAACAGAAAAAGUGCAGCAUUAGUUGUCUGCUGUGUUUGUUGUUAAUAAAUGAAUGGAUAUCUGGUACCAAGACUCAGAUUAGGAUUUUUGAGUAACAUUUAGAACAAGCUGGUGCCCAAACCCUGCAAAGAGCUUUGCUUCUGGCCACCAUCUGCAGGGCAGUUGAGCUGGCAGGAGCCUGGAGCCUGCAGAGGGAACGUAGCUGAUGGUUCUGGCUUCUUGAAAGUGGUAAGAGGAGUUGGGAAAGGAAGAGAUUAAGCACAGAAUGAAACAGAUCUGUUCUUCAAGGUCAUUUUAGUAAAAGGAGUCCCUGCACUUCUGUGAAUCAUACUUCUGUGAAAUCUAAAAUCAUGAAAAGUAAUUAUCGGAAAAUAAGUCAUCUCUAGGACAUGCAAACAAAAUGGGAACUAAUUAUCUUGAAAAUGCACCAGAACAAGUAUUUCAUCCAUUUCAAAUUUGUAUUCAUGUUUAUUAGUCUUCUACUCCCUAUAACUAAAAUGUCUGUGUCCUAAUCUCAAAGAGUAAUUCCCUAUCAGAAGUAUUUGGUUACUCCUGCCUGCUUCAUGGAAGAAGGAUACAUCAUUAUGAUUACUAACCAGGCUGAUGGAGGUCUUCUUUAAGGUCAUACACCACCUUCUAUAAGGUUCUUCAGAAUUCUUUCAUGGCAGAGAAAAUUUUAAGUGUUGCUUCCUGAACAAUAAACAUUCCUAGUGGAAAAGAAUCUACUCAGGGAGAGAGUCCUCGAGAGUCUGAUCAAAUGUCAAAUUCUGUCUAAUCCAUUACCAAUUGCCUUUAUGUUUUCCCAGAAAAAUGUGAUGUCUUUAACUAUAAAAUUAUACCUUUCUGGUUCCAAAAAUACUUGUCCUGAAGAUAAGUUCCUGUGUUGAGAGAAUGAAUCAAACUGGACUUUGAAAAGCUAAAAUCCAUACAGCUGUGAGAGAAGCACUGAGGCAGCAGGCUGGGUUAAGGGUUAAGGAUCCAGGAUUGCUGGAUCACAGAGGUCCACAUACCAAGAGUGGACGCACACAAGGAAAUAUUUUCUAGAAUGCCAGAACUAAAAAAGAAUAAACGAGCCAUGCUGUAAAAGAUCAAAUUCAGACCUUGUUGACUUGGAAGCAAGAGGUCUGAUGUACUGGCCUCUUCACAACAGACAUACCUGUACUUGUGCAGGUAGGGAGAGCUGCCUUGCUUGUAGGUUUGAGCAGAUGCAUCUAUCUCAAUUCCUAUCCCAAAUUUAUAUUGCAAAUUUCAGACUUAUCUGUUAUGAGAAGUAAGAAAUGUUACACUUUUUUCUACAUAUUUCAUAUGCUUUUGCCAUAUGAAGUCUUUCCUCAGUCUUCUGUUCCAGUCCGUAGUUCACCUUCAAUCAACAUUUCAAAAAGUCUCAAGUAGCAUGAAUUUUGGUGGGGCCAAAUCACUUGAUUUUCCCUUACCCUGUUUAGAAGAGGCUUUACUUGGAUAAAAGCAAUAGUGCCAGCCAUUUCCCUUCAUCCUUUAAAAUUACUGGCCACCUCUAAAGAACUUGGCCUCUCUUUUAUGUCACUUUCUGACAACUCAUUUGAGUUGAACAGGUUGCUGUGGCCAAAUUAAAUGCUUGGGAAAUGGACCAUACAAUUAAUUUGCAAUAGUAAGUUGUCUCAGCAUCAUUUCUCUUCCUCUCAAGGGGAAUGCUGGCUCAAGCAAAAGAAAAGAUUAACGUAAUAAAAAUAUUCUAAAGACAUCCUGUUAAUUGUCCCAAGCUCAGAUGGUAUUGUCUAUUCUUCUGUUGUGCAUAGCCAGCAAACAGUGUAAAAUCCAGAAUUCCUUCCUACCAUGAAAGCAGAGCCUUCAGUGCUACAGGAUAAUCCCUGCCUUUCUGGAAAGCAGAUGAAAAUGUGGUGUGGCAGAGCUUUGCUUUGGGUUUCAGAGGUGAGCUCAAAUUUGCUCCAUUGAUGAAUAUAAUAAUAGGACUUGUUAAUUUAGAUACAUCAGCAACUUUAAUCAAGAGAAUAAAGUUUUAUGGAAAAAAAGGAAAAUUGCAAACAAAGUAAGAGCAAAUUUUGGGAAAAGAAGGAAAAUUUUUUCCCCUGAAUAUGCAUAAGAGAUUUCCCAUGUUUGUUUAGGGACAGAAAACACUCGAGGUUUUUAAUUCAGCCAAAAUAAAGGCUUUCAUUUACAAUCA
Molecule: long non-coding RNA, 6121 nt
Organism: Neopelma chrysocephalum (saffron-crested tyrant-manakin)
Lineage: Eukaryota; Metazoa; Chordata; Aves; Passeriformes; Pipridae
Exons: 3
Source: RefSeq, a predicted model, not a curated record